UUUGGAUCUAGUGCCUUCUGUGUGUGCCAGGCUCUGUGCCAGGCUCUAAGGCUACCGUAGGGAACAGGACAGACAUGGCACCUGCCCCAGGGGAUGCAGUCUACAGUGAAACAUACAAAGAAAACAAACCCAAAGCACUGCAGAUUGUGGAGAAGCGCUGAGGAGGACAUAAACAGGAGUCCUCCUGCCUGGAGGGGAGGAGCCCACUCACUGCUGCUCCAUCCUAUGUCUCCAUUUGGACCCUUCUGCCCCAUCACCUCCUAAAAUUUUGCGUGUCCUUCCAGCCUCCAUAUCCUCUCUCCAGAUUACAUUGAUGCUUUCAUUCUCUCACUCAACAAUUACUGAGCUACUAUGUGCAGGCUCUGAGCCAGAUGUCAGGGUCCAGCAGAGAGUAUAAUGAAGUCGCUACCUUCUCUGGCCUUGUGGCCCACUUAGGGGACACUCAGCUCACAGACACCAGACGUAUAAUGCCAGGUGAUGACUUGGCGUCCUGAAAGGGAAGCAGUAGUAUACUCGGAUUGGGUAAUUUGAGGAAGGUUUAGUAAAGGGAUCACCUCCCAAGGUGUGAGCAAGGUAUAGGAAAGGUAGUGUGUACCUGGGUGAGGGACAGGGGGCAGAGGGAGCAGUUACCAGAACCUGGAGAGGGGCCCACAUGAGAACCUUCUGCCAAGAGCUGAGCCCCUGGGUCACCGAGGGGCCAGUGAGCAGGCAGCCACCCUGCAGGGAGAGAGCCAGCCCAGGACUUAGGACUCUCACCCCACUUUCCUCCCUUCCACCUUCUGCUAUCCUGUCUCUUCUCUGCUGAACAGAAGCCGGAAGCCAGAGGCCACAGGGCCUGUCGAUGCAGGCAGGACGGGCCAGCCUCCCAGGGCACAGUGCAGGGUGGAGAAGGUGGAGAGUGAGUGAGCUGGAGGGAAAGGUGGGAGGAGCUGGGUGCCGAAGGGAUUGCUGUUUUGGAAAGGAGGGGAAGGAAAGCUGUCUUUGAGCAGAGCCUCGAAUGCACUGAUGGGGCCAGCUGUGUGGAAAAGCACUCCAGGGACAGGGAAAAGCAAGCGCACAAGCUCUGAGGCAGGAAUGUGUGCGCCUCUCGACAGCGAGGGGCCACGUGCCUGGAGGCUGGUGGGGGAGGGGUCAGGGAGGAGCAGGGGCCACUGUGCAAACCCCCUGGGCCCGUGGAAGGGCCGUGGGUGUUCUUCUGAGUGAGAUGGGCAGCAGGGGAGUGACAGGAGUCAUCUUGUUGAAAGAUCAUUCCGGCUGCCCGGUGAUAUUCUGGCUGCAGGGGCGUGAGAAACACGAUGUCUCUUCAGUUAGUUUUGCGUAGUUUGGCAUUGGGCAAACAUGAUUCUACUAGGGGAACAGCCAACCACCCCAAAAUCGGUGGGAAGUUAGUUCUGGCCCCAAGAGAGCCAACAAGGAAUGACUGCUCCCUGCCGCAGGAGCCCUGGUGCAAGGGGAGAGGAGGAAACACAAACCCACAGAUAACUCCCUUCCCCGCGGCGUUUGCCGUGUAGUCAGGGAGACAGAUCAACACAGGAACCUGUUUAACACCACUUACCCAGACUGAGGAAGAACUGUCAAUAGAGGGUUGGACUGGAGGAUUUAAGGGCUGAAGCUGGUGCUGAGAUCCAAAUGGGGUGGGGUUAGCAAGUGAAGCUUCUGGAAGAGGCUCGUACUGAAACAAGUUUUUAGUUCUCUGACCAUCCACUGGCAGCGCCCAGGUGCAAGUGGGGGGCAGCUGGCCUCAGGGUGCAGAUUUCCGGUGGACACUCUCCCUCCUGGACAAAAAGGCAAGGUAUUUUCCCUCCUCUUGGAGCCAGUGGCUUACCCUCAUCUCCAUUUUAUUACGAGCUUUUCUCUUCCUUCUUUACUAAAAAGUUACUUAAUUUUGAAUAGAUAAUAUAUGUGCACAGUAUAAAAUUGAAAAGCUAAAAAAAGAUAUAAAUGAUAACUAAGCAUCUCCCUCCUCCCCUGUUUCCCAGAAUCCCCGACUCUUUCCCAGAGGUUGCCAGUAUGUUGGUAUCAAUAUUAGCUUAUGUAUUCUUCUGGAAACAGUCUGUGCAUCAAAUGCUAGUGUUUGUAUGUACUUUCUCUCAUUUUUACACAAUGGCAGAUACUGUAUAAACUAUCCAUGUUUUUUUUCCCACUUCCCAGUGUAACUUUUGGCAAUGGUUCCAUGUCAAUAAUAAAAAGCUUCUUCGUUCUGUCUCCUGGCUGCCCGGUGUUCCGUUGCAUGGCUCUCCC
Molecule: long non-coding RNA, 2241 nt
Organism: Equus asinus (donkey)
Lineage: Eukaryota; Metazoa; Chordata; Mammalia; Perissodactyla; Equidae
Source: Ensembl